CAGUUCGGAUUGAAGGCUGAAAUUCGCCUUCAUGAAGCUGGAAUUGCUAGUAAUGGCAGGUCAGCAUACUGCCGUGAAUACGUUCCCGGGCCUUGUACACACCGCCCGUCACACCAUGAGAGUUGGGAAUACCCGAAGCCUGUGAGCUAACUGUAAGGAGGCAGCAGUCGAAGGUAGAAUCAAUGAUUGGGGUGAAGUCGUAACAAGGUAAC
Molecule: ribosomal RNA, 212 nt
Filed under: uncultured bacterium
Lineage: Bacteria
Description: partial 16S ribosomal RNA
Rfam family: Bacterial small subunit ribosomal RNA
Source: RNAcentral